Molecule: ribosomal RNA, 466 nt
Filed under: uncultured bacterium
Lineage: Bacteria
Description: partial 16S ribosomal RNA
Rfam family: Bacterial small subunit ribosomal RNA
Source: RNAcentral
GACGAACGCUGGCGGCGUGCUUAACACAUGCAAGUCGAACGGAAAGGCCCUGCUUUUGUGGGGUGCUCGAGUGGCGAACGGGUGAGUAACACGUGAGUAACCUGCCCUUGACUUUGGGAUAACUUCAGGAAACUGGGGCUAAUACCGGAUAGGAGCGCCUGCUGCAUGGUGGGGGUUGGAAAGUUUCGGCGGUUGGGGAUGGACUCGCGGCUUGUCAGCUUGUUGGUGGGGUAGUGGCUUACCAAGGCUUUGACGGGUAGCCGGCCUGAGAGGGUAACCGGCCACGUUGGGUAGGGGACGCGGCAGAGGGGCAUAGGGGAGGAAGGGGGGGAGAAUGGUGCAACGGGGGCGGGAGUGUGAUGCAGGUCCGCCGCGUGCGAAGUGCGGGCAUGCGGGAUGUAGGGCGGUUUCUCCUGACACUGCGCGUGAGAGGGUGUAAUGGGAAAAGGCACCGGGUAAAUCCGUG